Long non-coding RNA from Salvia miltiorrhiza (redroot sage), 978 nucleotides. RefSeq lists it as uncharacterized. The transcript is spliced from 4 exons. NCBI's taxonomy places the organism in Eukaryota, Viridiplantae, Streptophyta, Magnoliopsida, Lamiales, Lamiaceae. The record is from RefSeq and is a predicted model, not a curated record.
CAUUUUCUUCUGAAAUUGCACAUGAUCAGUCAACCAUCACCGAUCGAAAAGAUGCCGUGUGGACGUCGGAAACGCCACAUAUACACGCAUGAAAAUAAAAAUUUAAUUAAUGUGACAAGUAGAAAAUUAUAAUUUUUUUAUUAAAUUUAAAUUUCAAAAUAUAUAAUUAAGCCAUUAAUUUCCCGAAUUAUAGAUCUUCCCCUAAAUUCCUUAGUUUUACAAUAUCUCCCCCAUUUUACAAUUGCCCUCCACACCCUAGCGUCCAGCCGUCUGCUCCAAUACAGGCUCCACAAUUGCCCUAACUUCGGCGCGCGAUUACACAGCUCCGGCGACGAAGGCUCCGGCGACUCUAGAGCGCGAUUCCAGCGACUCCGGCACACGGGACUCCAGCGCGCGAUUACACCAAGAGAGGCUCUAGCUCCGGCGACAAAGGCUUCGACGACUCUAGCGCGCGACUCCAACGCACGAGACUCCAGCGACUCCAACGCACGACUCCAGCGACUCCAGCAGGCGUGCAUAUGUGGUGUUUCCGGCGUCCACAUCAUCUUUUCGAUCGGUAGUUAGCUGACCAUGUGCAAUUUCAGAAGAAAAAGAAAGGUGAUGUAUUCUGAGGCGGAUUUCAAAUGUGGUGUGCAAUUCCAAAAAAUGAAAAAGCUCCAAUUCCUCGAUCGAACCAAAAAGAGGAGGCAUUUUCGAAGUUUCAAGAGGCUUGGAGAAAGAAUGUUGCUGAUUCUGUGUUAAGAAAUGAAAGUGGUGCAAAGUGAAUGUAAAAUGAAUAAUACAAUUUAUAAUUAAUGUGUGUAACUGCUGCUGAGACGUGUAAUCUGAUUUGCUAAAACUGCUGCUGAGACGUGUAAUCUGAUUUGCUAAUUAUUUUAAUUUAAUGGCUGUAAAUUGGGAUAUUUGUGGGUUAGUGGAGACAUUUUGUAUAAAUUAAAUUGAAUCAAUCUGAAUGUUAGUGGGUGAAGUUUGAAGUUA